Molecule: microRNA precursor, 95 nt
Filed under: Felis catus (domestic cat)
Lineage: Eukaryota; Metazoa; Chordata; Mammalia; Carnivora; Felidae
Also listed under: 3 other names
Description: mir-544 microRNA precursor family
Rfam family: mir-544 microRNA precursor family
Source: Rfam by way of RNAcentral
AUCACUCAAGGAUCUUCCUGAAAUGCAGAUUCUAAUCCAGGUCUGCAGUAAGGCCAGAGAUUCUGCAUUUCUAGCAAGCUCCCAGGUGGUGCCAA